RNAcentral lists this ribosomal RNA (497 nucleotides) under uncultured bacterium. RNAcentral's name for it is "partial 16S ribosomal RNA". It matches the Rfam family "Bacterial small subunit ribosomal RNA", at positions 28 to 507 of the family's 1533-position model. The record is from RNAcentral.
GAUGAACGCUGGCGGCGUGCCUAAUACAUGCAAGUCGAGCGAACAGACGAGGAGCUUGCUUCUCUGACGUUAGCGGCGGACGGGUGAGUAACACGUGGAUAACCUACCUAUAAGACUGGGAUAACUUCGGGAAACCGGAGCUAAUACCGGAUAAUAUAUUGAACCGCAUGGUUCAAUAGUGAAAGACGGUUUUGCUGUCACUUAUAGAUGGAUCCGCGCCGCAUUAGCUAGUUGGUAAGGUAACGGCUUACCAAGGCAACGAUGCGUAGCCGACCUGAGAGGGUGAUCGGCCACACUGGAACUGAGACACGGUCCAGACUCCUACGGGAGGCAGCAGUAGGGAAUCUUCCGCAAUGGGCGAAAGCCUGACGGAGCAACGCCGCGUGAGUGAUGAAGGUCUUCGGAUCUUAAAACUCUGUUAUUAGGGAAGAACAAAUGUGUAAGUAACUAUGCACGUCUUGACGGUACCUAAUCAGAAAGCCACGGCUAACUACGUG